Molecule: ribosomal RNA, 348 nt
Filed under: Pyrenula aspistea
Lineage: Eukaryota; Fungi; Ascomycota; Eurotiomycetes; Pyrenulales; Pyrenulaceae
Description: partial small subunit ribosomal RNA
Source: RNAcentral
GUCCUUCGCCAGGUACAUUUGCUGAAACCUUAGCGAGCCGUUUAGAAACGGUUGAUCAUACGACUGUAAAUAAAAUGGUCUUCUGGUUGAAGUUUGUUAUAUCUUUCAACUGGAACGCUGGUUAGUGAUUACCGCUAGCAACACCUUGAGUCUGCAGGAAAAUUCGACGGAGAAUAACCCGCAGCCAGAAACGUCAAAAGCCGAUGGUCUCUGGUUCACAGACUAGAUAAGGGUGGACACUGUUCUCACGUACAGUGUUUCAGAUAUAGCCGCGUCUUUGGAGGAUUGUUUUCUAAAGUUUGAUGUAUAGAUAUUCGUUCCGUAGGUGAACCUGCGGAAGGAUCAUUA